AAACCACCCAUAUGAGAAUUUCCUCUACUUUCCUCCCUUUCCUCGAUCAAAUUUCUUUAUUCCUUUCAGAUUUUGACCCGUAGAUAUAGGAAAGACUCAGGUAGGCCCCUUGUGGGGAAUAGACGAGAUUCGUGGAAGAUUCAGAAGCAUCAAACGUAAGGACAAUUGAAGAAGGUUUGUCAUACAAGCAACCCAAUCUGAUUUCUAGAUGUGUUGUCUAUCCAGUUUGUAAAUAUCCUUCAUUUGCUUUCGUCUAACAACUGAUUUUAGAGCUGGAUUUAUUUGUUUUUGCCUUUUGAUCAUCAUGCUUGUGAUGUUACGAUAUGACAGCAUUCUUUGAUUAUACAUCUAUGGUUGUAGAUUAGUUCUAUAAGUUAUUUUUCUAGUUUUCGUUCUUUUUCUUGGUGAAUUUUUUCGAAAACCUGAAUAUGUCUUAGGUUUUAAUGCAUAUUAUUGAUUGUGAAACAUAUAUAUAUAUAUAUAUAUAUAUAGAGUCCGUCUCCCGUACUUUCGAAAGUAUGGGAGGCCCCGUGCUUGUAAGUUGUUUUCGAUGAUAGGACGUUCGAUUCGACGAUCGGCUCCGUUAGGUAUGAUCUACCCUAUUGGAACUAUCUAGAAACCAAAUUUUAGAUUUUUUUGACAUUAUUUACUAAGCGAUCAAAAGGUCUAAAAAAUGACUAUUUAACGGUCGAUGUGGCACAUUUUUAAGUUCAACGGUGUAGAAGUAUCCAAAUUACAUGAAAAUUUAAUAGAAAAUUCUACUUAACAUCAGUAGCAAGAUCAAUACUUCUGAUUUAAAAUUUGAAUCAUUUAUCACUGUUUUUUAUGAGAUUUUCAUUUUCAGCCGUUCAUUUUGAGGCUACUCAUUCACUAGACAAACGAAAUCAAAAAAUUAUGAAAUUUGGUUUCUGGAUAGUUCCAAUAGCGUAGAUCAAGUUUAACGGAACCGAUCGCCGAAUCGGAUGUUCCAUCAUCGAAAACAACUUACAACCACGGGGCCUCCCGUACUUUCGAAAGCAUAGGAGCCCAGCUCUCUCUCUCUCUCUCUAUAUAUAUAUAUAUAUAUAUAUAUAUAUGAGUACGUCUCCCGUGCUUUCGAAAGUACGGAGGCCUCCGUACUUGUAAGUUGUUUUCGUUGAUAGGACAUCCAAUUCGACGAUUGGCUCCGUUAGGUAUAAUUUAUGCUAUUGGAACUAUCUAGAAACCAAAUUUUAUAAUUUUUCGACAUCAUUUACCAAGCGAUCACAGGGUCUCAAAAAUGACUAUUUUAACGGCCGAUGUGAUACGUUUUUAAGUUCAACGGUGUAGAAGUAUCCAAAUUAUAUGAAACUUUAAUAGAAAAUUCUACUUAACAUCAAGAGCAAGAACAAUACUUCCGAUUUGAAAUUUGAGUCAUUUAUCACUAUUUUUUAUGAGAUUUUUAUUUUCAGCCGUUUAUUUUGAGGCUACUCGUUCACUAGGCAAACGAAAUCAAAAAAUUAUGAAAUUUGGUUUCUAAAUAGUUCUAAUAGCAUAGAUCAUGUUUAACGGAACCGAUUGCCGAAUCGGACGUCCCAUCAUUGGAAACAACCUACAAGUACGGAAGCCUUCGUACUUUCGAAAGCAUAGGAGCCUAGCUCUAUAUAUAUAUAUAUAUAUAUAUAUAUAUAUAUAUAUAGAGUUGAGCUAGAAUACUAUCGAUAGCAAACGGGCUCCGUUGCUACCCAUUUAUUUUCGAUGAUGGAGCCUCCAAAUCGACGAUCGGAACCGUUGAACAUGAUCUAUACCACUUGAUGUCACGCCCUGGGACCGGCAGAGGCCUUCCCGGUGGCGUAUCCAGAACCACCAUAUGUCUACACAUAUAAGGCGUCUACAAUAACAGCGGAAGUAAAGUAAGAAAACAAAAGUAUCUAACGAUAUCAGAGCAAGGUAAAUAACUAAGUUCUACACAGAGGGGUAAGUAUAAAACUGAAAUCCACUAAUAAAGUUAUAAAGUAGUACAAAGGGAAACCCAAAUACAAAAACUAAAUAUAAAGAGUAUGUAGGUGGUCUCUCCAUACAUGGUACUCAAAAUCUCUCUUUCUCUCUCUCAAAAACAAACAGAAAGAGUAAACCACUUAAGCUCACAAGUAGCUCCCAGCUAACUAGCUACGCGACUCCCUUGCCGCGAUCCCGUGCCUCCGCCGGUGCCGAAGGCUCUGAAAUAACAUCAAGGAAAAGAGGGCGUGAGAACUAUAAUUUAUAGUUUCCAGUGGGCAAUUACUGACCUCAGCUCAAUGCACCACUAGGCCCCAAAAGAAAAGGGUAAGUCCAAAAAGCAACAAUAAUAAUAAAUGGAUUGCAUUUAUGAAAGCAUGAUUAAAAUGCUAAACUACUAUGUCGCAAAUAAAUAUGAUGUCAAAUGUGUUGUACAUCUAUUUUAUCAAAAUGAAGUAUGUCCAGGCAUGACUAAUAUGUCCCAACAUAACGCGCAAGUAGGUAUCAUGAUCCACUAUAUAUAUAUCAAUGUAUGAUAAGUAUGCUCUAUCAUGGCAGCAAAAUAUGCUAUGAUGCAACAAAUAAGACUAUCAUAUAUACCACAAGUCCCAACACUAUGCUAUGAGCAUGUCAUGGUAAUCAAACUAUUAAGCCUAUCUAGUAGUGAUAGUCAUUUCCCGAUUCAAUGUCAUUGUUUCCAACAUGUUCUAGGACCUAUAUAGUGUUGUCCAGCUUGUGCCACCUAAGUGUCGGUGGUAGCUCCAGCAUUCCUACUCUAGGAAUGAGUCUAUCCCUCCCGACCGCGUAGGUUUCUCAAUACCGCACGAGCGAACAUAAGUCGCGUAGGCCAACUCUGGAGUGCCGGCUUGUAGGGAGCGACCCUCACAAGCAUGUGCGAAUGAGCACAAAUGGCAAGCAAGAGUAGUCAAUGUCUCAAAUACCCAAUCAUCAUGUCUCUAACAUGGUACAAGUCACUAGCACCUCGAAGCUCUGGUUCAAUGUCUCAAAGUGAUGUUCCAACACCCACUAUGCUUAGUGCCUCUUUAUAACACUUAAGCUUGUUAUAAGUUAACGCAUUUCAUAGUCUAUGCUCUAUUCAUGACAUUAGUACUAGGUUCUUAUUUAACCCAAGCUCAAUGCCUCUUUAUGACAUUAGCUCAAUUAUUCACAAGUAGCACAAGUUUUCGAGUCCCUUCAAGGCUUAUUAAGAUCCUUUAAGUCUCGAGUAGGAAUAGCUUUAAAUGCAUGAAAGUGAUAUUCAUUUUCACCAUAGGAAUUAUGAUUCCAAGUCUCAAUAGGAUGCCAAUCAUGUACAAGUCCCACAUGGUAGCUCUCUACUGUAUAGGGGUCCGAAAUUUCUUACACAUAAUAUAGCCAUGUUAAGCAUCCUAAAAUUCACAAUAAAUACAUUUAUCAUAGAAAUGCAUGAAUUUUACUCUAUGAAGUAUAAAACGUGGGAUAUGAGAAUUUCUCAUAUGCCAGGCUAGGUCAAACCCACCAAACCGUCUCGGAAGCCUUCGUUUUGCCGAACGGAGUUGUCCACCAGUCUCUAAGCACCCUAGAAGUAAGGAGCGAAGAGAUAAACAAACGUUACGAGCAACUCUAGGCUCAAAUAUUAACCACCACAAGCAAAUGGGCAAAACUCACAUAGGGAGUAGAAAAUCUCUCUUAAACUCCAAAAGAGAGCUAGAUCCCUUCCAAUCCGACCUAAAGGAAGAUUCUAAAUCAAGUAAUUGAGCCUCAAAAGCCCUAGAUCAAAAAGCCCUAAAAUCAACCCUAAAAUUCCAUCCUAGGGUUUCAUCUACCACAAAGUAACAAAACUCCAAUUUAGAGAGAGAGAAUGAGCUACUAACCUUUUAGAAGCCUCAAACAAGAUCCAAAGUCCUCCAAGUGUGGAGAUCUCCCUCCUCUCAAACUCCAAAUUCAAGAUCCAAGCCACCAAAAGGAAGAAGAGAGGGUGUGGGUGAAGAUCCAAGCCUCCAACAAGCUCUUUUCUUCUUCUUCUUCUCCUCCUUCUUCUUCUUCUCUCUCUAGGAGCAAGUGGGAUGGUGGAAUGAGGGAGAAGAGAAGGAGAAGUGGCCACAUAGGCCCUCUAGUGUAACAAAAUCCAACUAAGUCCCUCAACUUUGCACCAUGUACAAAGCCCGGACUGGGCAGUUUUCGGACUGAGGGACCGGUCUUCCCGACAUGGGACCGGUCUCUCGACCUGCUCCGAAAUUCCGACGUUCGGGAACCGGUCUCUCCCCGCACAGGACCGGUCUCUCGGACCCUCCACGCAAAAUACGCGCUCGGGAACUGGUCUCUCCUAGCGAGGGACCGGUUGUCUCAAACCUUGCCGCGGCACUGUUCUGAGGGGACCGGUCUCUCCUAAUAGGGACCGGUCCCCGAGAGUAAAAACUCUCAGGACUCGUCCAGAAAUCCGGUUUUCGAACCUUUUAGGUCGGAAAACAUCCUACGACUCUCCACCAAGUGUGGAAAAGCUCGAAACACGUCCAAUCACUCGAACCUUGCAAUUUGCACAGGUCCGGUGUGCUACACUUGAAGUGUUUAGAAAUCAAAUUUCAAAUUUUUUUGACAUCAUUUGCCUAAUGAUCAAAGGGUUUCAAAAUUUGUAAUUUUAAUGGUCGAUAUGAGACGUUUUCUUAUUUAACGGCGUAAAGAUAUCCAAAUCAAUUGAAUUUUUGUUAGAAAAUUCUUUAAACUAUUUAAAACAAGAUCUAUACUCUUGAUCUUGAUUACAAGACUCCUAUCAUCAUUUUUUAAAGAAUAUUCAUUUUCAGCCGUUCAUUUUUGUGUCCACUCGAUGGAUAAGAGAACAAUAUCGAAAAUAUAUGAAAUUUGAUUUCUAAACACUUCAAGUGGUAUAGAUCAUAUUCAACGAUGCCGAUCGUCGAUUUGGAGGUUCCAUCAUCGAAAACAAAUGGGUGGCAAUGGAGCCCGUUUGCUAUCUCGAUAGUAUUCUAGUUCAACUCUCUCUCUCUCUCUCUCUCUAUAUAUAUAUAUAUAUAUAUAUAGGAUUGGAAUAAUAUCAAUAGUAAACGGUUCAAUAUACUACCAAUUUAUUUUCGAUGAUAGAGUUUUCAAAUCGACAACUGGCAUUGUUGAAAUUGCUUUUUGACAUCGCUAAUCAAACGAUCAAAGGGUCACGAAAUUCGUAAUUCUAAUGGCCGACAAGGUGCGUUUGAUUGUUUAAUGGUAUAGAGGAGUCCAAAUUAGUGUUAAACUAUUAAACAUUAGAUUUAAACACUAGAUCUUGAAUGCAAAAAUUGUGUCAUAAUAUUUUGAAGGAUAUUCAUUAUCUGCCAAUCAUUUAUGUCCACUUGAUGAACAAGGGAACAAUAUCGAAAAAAGUAUAAAAUUUAAUUUCUAAAUAGUUUAAAAGGUCUAGAUCAUAUUCAACGGUGUCGAUCAUUGGUUUGAAAACUCUAUCAUCGAAAAUAAAACGGUAGUAAAUUGAGCCAUUUACUACCAAUAGUAUUCUAGUCCUACUCUCUCUUUCUCUAUAUAAAGAGAGAGAGAGAGAGAGAGAGAGAGAGAGUGAGACCUAAGCUGGAUGUAUUAGUAGCUAAUGUGUUCCAUUGCCACAUAUUUAUUUUCAAUAAUGAAGCCUUCAAAUCGAUGAUCGACACUGUUGAACAUGAUCUAUACUACUUGAAGCAUGUAGAAAUCAAAUUUAAUGCUUUU
Molecule: long non-coding RNA, 5640 nt
Filed under: Ananas comosus (pineapple)
Lineage: Eukaryota; Viridiplantae; Streptophyta; Magnoliopsida; Poales; Bromeliaceae
Description: long non-coding RNA (ACOM_LNC005483)
Source: RNAcentral